UGAGUGCUAUGCAAAUGUGUUCACAGG
RNAcentral lists this non-coding RNA (27 nucleotides) under Homo sapiens (human). Lineage: Eukaryota; Metazoa; Chordata; Mammalia; Primates; Hominidae. The record is from RNAcentral.